UAAUACGGAGGGUGCGAGCGUUGUCCGGAAUCACUGGGCGUAAAGGGCGCGUAGGCGGCGCGGUUAGCGUGCGGUGAAAGCUCGGGGCUCAACCCCGAGUCGGCCGUGCGAACUGCCGCGCUCGAGCACUGUAGAGGCAGGUGGAAUUCCGGGUGUAGCGGUGGAAUGCGUAGAGAUCCGGAAGAACACCGGUGGCGAAGGCGGCCUGCUGGGCAGUAGCUGACGCUGAGGCGCGACAGCGUGGGGAGCAAACAGGAUUAGAUACCCUGGUAGUCCACGCCGUAAACGAUGGGCACUAGGUGCUUGGGGGAGCGACCCCCUGAGUGCCGGCGCUAACGCAUUAAGUGCCCCGCCUGGGGAGUACGGCCGCAAGGCUG
RNAcentral lists this ribosomal RNA (377 nucleotides) under uncultured bacterium. Its description in RNAcentral is "bacterial SSU rRNA". It matches the Rfam family "Bacterial small subunit ribosomal RNA", at positions 521 to 896 of the family's 1533-position model. The record is from RNAcentral.